GAGUGUUAGUGCUGUUAUUAAUGGUUCUUUAGCAUCGUCAUAUAGUCCAAUAAAAUUAACUACUUUUUUUUUAAUACAUAAUUCGAUAUCUUUAUUUUUAACUAGUUUUGCAUUUUUAGUGGGUUCCUAUUAUUUAUUAAUAUUUAGUCGGUUUUAUUGUGGCUUUAGUGAAGCAGCAUUUACUACUACUAUACCACCUUUAAUUUUUUCAUAUUCUAAAAACAAAGCGGGAUGUUGGCUAAGUAUUUUUCUCACAAUGUUUCCUUUAGGUGGUUGUACAGGUUAUGUAAUAGCAGUUAUUUUGCCUAUAAUUAAUAUGACUCUUUUUGAAUAUUUUUUUUAUGUAGGUUUCCUAGUUUUAAUAUUAACUUUUAUAUUUUUUUUGUUUGAUGAAAAUUUAAUAAAAAAUUAUGAAGAUAAAAAAUAUAGUAAAAAAAAUGAAAUAAAAACAAACUCAGUAUUAUUGCAUGACCAACAGGAUAAAAACACAGCAUUUAACGAUUUAAAAAAUGUGAAAAAAAAAAGCAGUUAUAAAAAUCAAAACAGUUGUAUUAAAACGAAUUUAAUAACUAGUGAAUCUACUAAUAACUUAAGUAAAAUAAAUGAAAUGUGUAGCAUUAAAUCAUAUCACAUUAAUGAUAAUAAAAAAAAUGAUGAUGAUAACAAUAAUAUUAACAAUGUCAAUGCUAACAUUGGUAACAGUAACAAUAUAGAUAAUAAUGAAAGUAACAGUAACAAUAUAGAUAAUAAUGAAAGUAACAGUAACAAUAUAAAUAAUAAUGAAAGUAAGAAUAACAAGUAUAGUGAUAAUGAAAAUAAGAAUAACAAGUAUAGCGAUAAUGAAAAUAAGAAUAACAAGUAUAGCGAUAAUGUUGAAGAAGCUUUUAAUAAUAAAAUUAAUAAUGUGAGUGACAAUACAUGGAUUCCUCUAUCUUAUCAGAAUUACAACAUAGAUAACAUGAAUAGCACUGAACAUAUUAGUAAAACGGAUUCAAUUGAAUCAAAGCUUGAAACAAUUACAUCUUAUAACAGUUACAUUAAUAACAAUUUAGAUAUAAUUUAUACUAAUGAAAACUACAAACCUGAUUUUCUUGAAUCAAAUACAACACAUGAAGCAUAUCAUACAAGUAUAAACAGAGAUGAAAUUUUAAAUAGUAAAUCAUCUAAUAAUAUUGAUAAUGCAGAAGAAAAAAGUAAAAAUAAUUAUAAUAUAAAUUUGUUAUUUAAUGUAACA
Molecule: long non-coding RNA, 1234 nt
Filed under: Piliocolobus tephrosceles (Ugandan red Colobus)
Lineage: Eukaryota; Metazoa; Chordata; Mammalia; Primates; Cercopithecidae
Description: lncRNA (ENSPTEG00000007113.1)
Source: RNAcentral